GUGUGCGAUCAUAUUAGUACGAAUGGAUCGGAUCCCAUCAGAACUUCGAAGUUAAGCGUGCUUAGGUGAGAAUGGUACUAAGCCGAGCUUUGUCGCAGGAC
Molecule: ribosomal RNA, 101 nt
Filed under: Cephalotus follicularis
Lineage: Eukaryota; Viridiplantae; Streptophyta; Magnoliopsida; Oxalidales; Cephalotaceae
Source: RNAcentral